RNAcentral lists this long non-coding RNA (590 nucleotides) under Mytilus galloprovincialis (Mediterranean mussel). Lineage: Eukaryota; Metazoa; Mollusca; Bivalvia; Mytilida; Mytilidae. The record is from RNAcentral.
UGUUUGUGUUAAAAUGGUAUUGCAUUUCGUCUUCCUACUGGAAAUAAUUGUCAUUAGAUUUCAAAGUACGUUUGGUGUUAUUGCAAGUCUUCGGUUUUUAGGCAUGAUCAUGUUGGCGCGUUUUCUUAUUGUUCGCUGGCUUAUUGUUCGCUAGCUUGAUUCAUCUUAUUGUUCGCUGGCUUAUUGUUCGCUAGCUUGAGUCUGGUCGUUUUCUCUGCAUUUAUAAACUCUGGCUUAUAAUUCAUUGCAAUUACAUAUACAUAGUGACUUUUCAUGUGCAUUCCAACAUACUUCUGAUAAAUGAUUUUAAUCAAAUAUAUAAUGCGACUUUUUUUUAAUAUUUUUCAUGUGACUUUUUUCCGUUUGCCAGUAGUGCAUUGGUUGUCGUUGGUACAUGUAUGUCAUAUUUGUUUUUUGUAAAUUGCUUUGCUUCAAAUUAGAUAUUUAGUUUUUUUUAAAUCGAAUUGAUUCAUUUUUUUUCAAGUCGAGGCAUUGUAGCCUACUAGCUAACAAUACAGUAUGGGUUUUUGUUAUUGUUGAAGACUGUGCUGUUGCCUAGUAUGCUUUAAUCCACAGAAUUUAAACUUUGG